CCCUAAAUCUUGAUACUUAAUCUUACCAAAGUAUCCGCCCGAGAACUACGAGCACAAACGCUUAAAACUCUAAGGACUUGGCGGUGCCCCAAACCCACCUAGAGGAGCCUGUUCUAUAAUCGAUAACCCACGCUACACCCAACCGCCUCUAGCCUAAAGCAGCCUACAUACCGCCGUCGCCAGCCCACCUCNNCUGAAAGAACUACAGUGGGUACAAUAGCCACUCGCUAAUAAGACAGGUCAAGGUAUAGCUUAUGGGGCGGAAGAAAUGGGCUACAUUUUCUAAUAGUAGAAGACACGGAAAGAGAUGCGAAAUCAUCACUGGAAGGCGGAUUUAGCAGUAAAGAAAGACAAUAAAGCUUUC
RNAcentral lists this ribosomal RNA (364 nucleotides) under Heteroscenes pallidus (pallid cuckoo). Its description in RNAcentral is "Cacomantis pallidus 12S ribosomal RNA". It matches the Rfam family "Bacterial small subunit ribosomal RNA", at positions 800 to 1361 of the family's 1533-position model. Lineage: Eukaryota; Metazoa; Chordata; Aves; Cuculiformes; Cuculidae. The record is from RNAcentral.